GACGAGCGCUGGCGGCGUGCUUAACACAUGCAAGUCGAACGGUAAGGCCCUUCGGGGUACACGAGUGGCGAACGGGUGAGUAACACGUGGGUGAUCUGCCCUGCACUUCGGGAUAAGCCUGGGAAACUGGGUCUAAUACCGGAUAGGGCCACUGCCUGCAUGGGUGGUGGUGGAGAGCUUUUGCGGUGUGGGAUGGGCCCGCGGCCUAUCAGCUUGUUGGUGGGGUGAUGGCCUACCAAGGCGACGACGGGUAGCCGGCCUGAGAGGGUGACCGGCCACACUGGGACUGAGAUACGGCCCAGACUCCUACGGGAGGCAGCAGUGGGGAAUAUUGCACAAUGGGCGCAAGCCUGAUGCAGCGACGCCGCGUGAGGGAUGACGGCCUUCGGGUUGUAAACCUCUUUCAGCACCGACGAAGCGAAAGUGACGGUAGGUGCAGAAGAAGGACCGGCCAACUACGUGCCAGCCGCCGCGGUAA
This 478-nucleotide ribosomal RNA is filed under the name uncultured bacterium. RNAcentral's name for it is "partial 16S ribosomal RNA". It matches the Rfam family "Bacterial small subunit ribosomal RNA", at positions 28 to 523 of the family's 1533-position model. The record is from RNAcentral.